RNAcentral lists this ribosomal RNA (789 nucleotides) under Chaetastus montanus. Its description in RNAcentral is "eukaryotic LSU rRNA". It matches the Rfam family "Eukaryotic large subunit ribosomal RNA", at positions 407 to 834 of the family's 3401-position model. Lineage: Eukaryota; Metazoa; Arthropoda; Insecta; Coleoptera; Curculionidae. The record is from RNAcentral.
GUUUAGGGGUAAACCUGAGAAACCCGAAAGGUCGAAGGGAGAAAUUCAAUAGCGUGUCGUCGUCGGCGAUAGAUGUGCGUUUGACGGAAAACGGAACGGGCGACCCUCGCGGUCUGUCCCGGAAUAUCGUUUGUCGCUCGGCAGGUUUAGGUCGAUCCGAAGACGAUCGCGUGCACUUUUCUUCUGGUAGGACGUCGCGAUCCGUCGGGUCGUCGAUCUAAGACGGUUUUCUGUGCGGAAGAGCCCGCCGGUGGGUGGCGCGUUUCGGCGCGUUCGCCUUUACACCGGCGGAUCCGCCCGAUCCGAUCGACUCGCUCGACGGUACGUGAACGGUUCGGGGUCGCUGAUUAAUUUUUGAGCGUCGGAGCCGCGGCAAGGGCGACGUACGUACAAAAAGGACGUCGUUCGUUCGUUCGUUCGACGUUCGACCGGCGAUCGGGGUUUCGAUUCCGAUUCCGGGCGUGCGGCGCGUUGCUGGCCGCGGAUCGCAUCUCCGACCGGCCCUAUUAACGAAAACCGAUCUGCGACGCUUUAGCUUUGGGUAAUUUCAGGACCCGUCUUGAAACACGGACCAAGGAGUCUAGCAUGCGCGCGAGUCAUUGGGACUAAAUUAAACCUAAAGGCGCAAUGAAAGUGAAACUCGCGAACGCGCAAGCGUUUAUCGAGAAGGGAAGACGGCGGACGCAUUUAAUCGGUCCGCUUGCAUUCCCGGGGCGUUUCGUUCGUACUUCGUACGAAACGAGGCGCACCAAGAGCGCGCACGCUGGGACCCGAAAGAUGGUGAACUAU